Molecule: ribosomal RNA, 391 nt
Filed under: uncultured eukaryote
Lineage: Eukaryota
Description: partial 18S ribosomal RNA
Rfam family: Eukaryotic small subunit ribosomal RNA
Source: RNAcentral
CAAUAGCGUAUAUUAAAGUUGUUGCAGUUAAAAAGCUCGUAGUUGGAUUUCUGUGAGAGUGCCGGUGUCGGCUGAUGCUUGUACGCAGGCGCUCUUACAUCCUUCUGUUAACUGUUCUUGGCAUUUUAUUGCUGGUUCAGGGCUCAGAUAUUUUACCUUGAGAAAAUUAGAGUGUUUCAGGCAGGCUUAUGCCGGAAUACAUUAGCAUGGAAUAAUGGAACAGGACCUGUGCGUCUCUCGGGGCGCCGGUCUCCGUUAUUGGUUUCGGGGACUGAUGUAAUGAUUAAUAGGGAUAGUUGGGGGCAUUAGUAUUUAAUAGUCAGAGGUGAAAUUCUCGGAUUUGUUAAAGACUAACUUAUGCGAAAGCAUUUGCCAAGGAUGUUUUCAUUAA